RNAcentral lists this ribosomal RNA (466 nucleotides) under uncultured bacterium. RNAcentral describes it as "partial 16S ribosomal RNA". It matches the Rfam family "Bacterial small subunit ribosomal RNA", at positions 29 to 523 of the family's 1533-position model. The record is from RNAcentral.
AAUGAACGCUGGCGGUAUGCUUAACACAUGCAAGUCGAACGAACAAAACUGGGGCUUGCUCCAAUUUUAGUGAGUGGCAAACGGGUGAGUAACACGUGGGAAUCUACCUAUCAGUACGGAAUAACAUUUGGAAACAGAUGCUAAUACCGUAUAUUCUCCAAGGAGGAAAGAUUUAUCGUUGAUAGAUGAGCCCGCGUAAGAUUAGGUAGUUGGUAGGGUAAUGGCCUACCAAGCCGACGAUCUUUAGCUGGUCUGAGAGGAUGAUCAGCCACACUGGGACUGAGACACGGCCCAGACUCCUACGGGAGGCAGCAGUGGGGAAUAUUGGACAAUGGGCGAAAGCCUGAUCCAGCAAUACCGCGUGAAUGAUGAAGGCCUUAGGGUUGUAAAGUUCUUUUAGUUGGAAAGAUAAUGACGGUACCAACAGAAAAAGCCCCGGCUAACUCCGUGCCAGCAGCCGCCGUAA